CGCCAGGGUACUACGAGCAUAGCUUAAAACCCAAAGGACUUGGCGGUGUCUCAGACCCACCUAGAGGAGCCUGUUCUAGAACCGAUAAUCCCCGUUAAACCUCACCACUUCUUGUUAAUCCCGCCUAUAUACCGCCGUCGCCAGCUUACCCCAUGAGGGUUAAACAGUAAGCAAAAUGGACAAACCCCAGAACGUCAGGUCGAGGUGUAGCGCACGAAGUGGGAAGAAAUGGGCUACAUUUUCUAUAGCAGAAAAUAACGAAUGGUCUACUGAAACACAUACCUGAAGGAGGAUUUAGCAGUAAAAAGCAAAUAGAGAGUCCUUUUGAAUCAGGCUCUGAGACACGC
This 347-nucleotide ribosomal RNA is filed under the name Hoplisoma nattereri (blue corydoras). RNAcentral's name for it is "Corydoras nattereri partial 12S ribosomal RNA". It matches the Rfam family "Bacterial small subunit ribosomal RNA", at positions 870 to 1384 of the family's 1533-position model. Lineage: Eukaryota; Metazoa; Chordata; Actinopteri; Siluriformes; Callichthyidae. The record is from RNAcentral.